CUACGGGAUGCAGCAGUGAGGAAUAUUGCACAAUGGGGGGAACCCUGAUGCAGCAACGCCGCGUGGAGGAUGACGCAUUUCGGUGUGUAAACUCCCUUUAUAUGUCAAGAAAAUGACGGUAGCAUAUGAAUAAGCACCGGCUAACUCCGUGCCAGCAGCCGCGGUAAUACGGAGGGUGCAAGCGUUACUCGGAAUCACUGGGCGUAAAGGACGCGUAGGCGGGUUGUAAAGUCAGGUGUGAAAUCCUACAGCUUAACUGUAGAACUGCACUUGAAACUUCUAAUCUAGAGUAUGGGAGGGGGAGAUGGAAUUAGUGGUGUAGGGGUAAAAUCCGUAGAUAUCACUAGGAAUACCUAAAGCGAAGGCGAUCUCCUGGAACAUUACUGACGCUAAGGCGUGAAAGCGUGGGGAGCAAACAGGAUUAGAUACCCCGGUAGUC
This 439-nucleotide ribosomal RNA is filed under the name uncultured bacterium. RNAcentral describes it as "partial 16S ribosomal RNA". It matches the Rfam family "Bacterial small subunit ribosomal RNA", at positions 339 to 795 of the family's 1533-position model. The record is from RNAcentral.